UACGAAGGGGGCUAGCGUUGUUCGGAAUCACUGGGCGUAAAGGGCGCGUAGGCGGCUUAACAAGUCACUUGUGAAAUCUCCGGGCUUAACUCGGAACGGCCAAGUGAAACUGUCAAGCUAGAGUGCAGAAGGGGCAAUCGGAAUUCUUGGUGUAGCGGUGAAAUGCGUAGAUAUCAAGAGGAACACCUGAGGUGAAGACGGGUUGCUGGGCUGACACUGACGCUGAGGCGCGAAAGCCAGGGGAGCAAACGGG
RNAcentral lists this ribosomal RNA (253 nucleotides) under uncultured bacterium. RNAcentral describes it as "partial 16S ribosomal RNA". It matches the Rfam family "Bacterial small subunit ribosomal RNA", at positions 524 to 776 of the family's 1533-position model. The record is from RNAcentral.